UCGCUUCAUGGCCGCUCUCCCGCCCCGCCUGGGAUCUGUGGGGAGCUGGGGAGCCCGCGGCGGCCUGGAGCCGGAGCUGGCGAGCCGAGCGGAGACCUGUGCGCCGCGCCUCUGAGGCGCAGCAUGUGAAGCGGAUACGGCAUCCAGUGCGCGGCGAGCCUCUCAGCCGGCCGGGAUGGCUACCACGGCCGAGCUCUUCGAGGAGCCUUUUGUGGCAGAUGAAUAUAUUGAGCGUCUUGUAUGGAGAACCCCAGGAGGAGGCUCUAGAGGUGGACCUGAAGCUUUUGAUCCUAAAAGAUUAUUAGAAGAAUUUGUAAGUCAUAUUCAGGAACUCCAGAUAAUGGAUGAAAGGAUUCAGAGGAAAGUAGAGAAACUAGAGCAACAAUGUCAGAAAGAAGCCAAGGAAUUUGCCAAGAAGGUACAAGAGCUGCAGAAAAGCAAUCAGGUUGCCUUCCAACAUUUCCAAGAACUAGAUGAGCACAUUAGCUAUGUAGCAACUAAAGUCUGUCACCUUGGAGACCAGUUAGAGGGGGUAAACACACCCAGACAACGCGCAGUGGAGGCUCAGAAAUUGAUGAAAUACUUUAAUGAGUUUCUAGAUGGAGAAUUGAAAUCUGAUGUUUUUACAAAUUCUGAAAAGAUAAAGGAAGCAGCAGACAUCAUUCAGAAGUUGCACCUAAUUGCCCAAGAGUUACCUUUUGAUAGGCAAGUUCAUUUCUCAAGAGCUAAUUUGAAUAUAUGGUAUAAUUUAUAAAAUAAAAUUGUAUCUUUU
RNAcentral lists this small RNA (772 nucleotides) under Pongo abelii (Sumatran orangutan). RNAcentral describes it as "retained intron". The record is from RNAcentral. Lineage: Eukaryota; Metazoa; Chordata; Mammalia; Primates; Hominidae.